AUUGAACGCUGGCGGCAGGCCUAACACAUGCAAGUCGAACGAGUGGCGGACGGGUGAGUAAUGUCUGUGAAAUUGCCCGAUGGAGGGGGAUAACUACUGGAAACGGUAGCUAAUACCGCAAAACGUCAGAAGUGCCCAGAAGGGAUUCGCUAGUUGGUGGGGUAACGGCUCACCAAGGCGACGAUCCAUAGCGGGUCUGAGAGGAUGACCAGCAACACUGCAACGAGGACGCGGUCUAGACUCCUACGGGAGGCACCAGUGGGAAAUAUUGCACAAUGGGCGCAAGCCUAAUGCAGCCAAUCCGCGUGUAUGAAGCGGGCCAUCGGGUUGUAAAGUACUUUCAGCGGGGAGGCGUUACCCGCAGAAGAAGCACCGGCUAACUCCGUGCCAGCAGCCGCGGUAAUAC
RNAcentral lists this ribosomal RNA (406 nucleotides) under uncultured bacterium. RNAcentral describes it as "partial 16S ribosomal RNA". It matches the Rfam family "Bacterial small subunit ribosomal RNA", at positions 30 to 526 of the family's 1533-position model. The record is from RNAcentral.